This 254-nucleotide unclassified non-coding RNA is filed under the name uncultured Orbiliales. RNAcentral's name for it is "sequence contains 5.8S rRNA gene, ITS2, 28S rRNA gene". Lineage: Eukaryota; Fungi; Ascomycota; Orbiliomycetes; Orbiliales. The record is from RNAcentral.
AACGCAUAUUGCGCCCAUUGGUAUUCCUUUGGGCAUGUCUGUUUGAGCGUCAUUACAACUCUUCAACAUAAUGUUGGUUAUGGGCUCUGUUUUUAUAAAACAGGCUUUAAAGUUGUAUGCUCUGCAGGUUACUUUGCCAAACCAAAACAUAGUAAUUUUUCUUUGUUUCUAGUAAGGCUUUGUAUAUUCUGCCUGAAUAAAAAUCUUUUCUAAGGUUUGACCUCAGAUCAGACAAGGAUACCCGCUGAACUUAA